CAACUUUCAACAACGGAUCUCUUGGCUCUCGCAUCGAUGAAGAACGCAGCGAAAUGCGAUAAGUAAUGUGAAUUGCAGAAUUCAGUGAAUCAUCGAAUCUUUGAACGCACCUUGCGCUCCUUGGUAUUCCGAGGAGCAUGCCUGUUUGAGUGUCAUU
This 157-nucleotide ribosomal RNA is filed under the name Sarcomyxa serotina. RNAcentral describes it as "5.8S ribosomal RNA". It matches the Rfam family "5.8S ribosomal RNA". From Rfam's summary of the family: 5.8S ribosomal RNA (5.8S rRNA) is a component of the large subunit of the eukaryotic ribosome. It is transcribed by RNA polymerase I as part of the 45S precursor that also contains 18S and 28S rRNA. Lineage: Eukaryota; Fungi; Basidiomycota; Agaricomycetes; Agaricales; Mycenaceae. The record is from RNAcentral. RNAcentral also lists the same sequence under 4 other names.